UCCGUAUGGUGCGAGCGUUGUCCGGAAUUAUUGGGCGUAAAGAGCUUGUAGGCGGUUUGUCGCGUCUGCUGUGAAAAUCCGGGGCUCAACCCCGGACUUGCAGUGGGUACGGGCAGACUAGAGUGUGGUAGGGGAGACUGGAAUUCCUGGUGUAGCGGUGGAAUGCGCAGAUAUCAGGAGGAACACCGAUGGCGAAGGCAGGUCUCUGGGCCACUACUGACGCUGAGAAGCGAAAGCAUGGGGAGCGAACAGG
This 253-nucleotide ribosomal RNA is filed under the name uncultured bacterium. RNAcentral's name for it is "partial 16S ribosomal RNA". It matches the Rfam family "Bacterial small subunit ribosomal RNA", at positions 524 to 776 of the family's 1533-position model. The record is from RNAcentral.